AUUGAACGCUGGCGGCAUGCCUUACACAUGCAAGUCGAACGGCAGCGGGGGAGAAGCUUGCUUUUCCUGCCGGCGAGUGGCGAACGGGUGAGUAAUACAUCGGAACGUGCCCUGUAGUGGGGGAUAACUAGUCGAAAGAUUAGCUAAUACCGCAUACGACCUGAGGGUGAAAGUGGGGGACCGCAAGGCCUCAUGCUAUAGGAGCGGCCGAUGUCUGAUUAGCUAGUUGGUGGGGUAAAGGCCUACCAAGGCGACGAUCAGUAGCUGGUCUGGGAGGACGAUCAGCCACACUGGGACUGAGACACGGCCCAGACUCCUACGGGAGGCAGCAGUGGGGAAUUUUGGACAAUGGGCGAAAGCCUGAUCCAGCAAUGCCGCGUGUGUGAAGAAGGCCUUCGGGUUGUAAAGCACUUUUGUCCGGAAAGAAAUGGCUCUGGUUAAUACCUGGGGUCGAUGACGGUACCGGAAGAAUAAGGACCGGCUAACUACGUGCCAGCAGCCGCGGUAA
This 508-nucleotide ribosomal RNA is filed under the name uncultured bacterium. RNAcentral describes it as "partial 16S ribosomal RNA". It matches the Rfam family "Bacterial small subunit ribosomal RNA", at positions 30 to 523 of the family's 1533-position model. The record is from RNAcentral.